UGGGUUGUGGCUCAGUGGUAGAGCACUGGCCUAGCAUGUGUUGAGGCACUGAGUUUGAUUCUCAGCACCACAU
Molecule: non-coding RNA, 73 nt
Organism: Ictidomys tridecemlineatus (thirteen-lined ground squirrel)
Lineage: Eukaryota; Metazoa; Chordata; Mammalia; Rodentia; Sciuridae
Source: Rfam